GUGGGGAAUCUUCCGCAAUGGACGAAAGUCUGACGGAGCAACGCCGCGUGAGUGAUGAAGGUCUUCGGAUUGUAAAGCUCUGUUAAUCGGGACGAAAGAGCCUAGUGUGAAUAAUGCUAGGAAGUGACGGUACCGGAAUAGAAAGCCACGGCUAACUACGUGCCAGCAGCCGCGGUAAUACGUAGGUGGCAAGCGUUGUCCGGAAUUAUUGGGCGUAAAGCGCGCGCAGGCGGAUCUGCCAGUCUGUCUUAAAAGUUCGGGGCUUAACACCGUGAUGGGAUGGAAACUACAGAUCUAGAGUAUCGGAGAGGAAAGUGGAAUUCCUAGUGUAGCGGUGAAAUGCGUAGAUAUUAGGAAGAACACCAGUGGCGAAGGCGACUUUCUGGACGAAAACUGACGCUGAGGCGCGAAAGCCAGGGGAGCGAACGGGAUUAGAUACCCCUGUAGUCC
This 450-nucleotide ribosomal RNA is filed under the name uncultured bacterium. RNAcentral's name for it is "partial 16S ribosomal RNA". It matches the Rfam family "Bacterial small subunit ribosomal RNA", at positions 354 to 796 of the family's 1533-position model. The record is from RNAcentral.